AUUGAACGCUGGCGGCGUGCCUAACACAUGCAAGUCGAGCGGUAACAGGUGUAGCAAUACAUGCUGACGAGCGGCGGACGGGUGAGUAACGCUUGGGAAUCUGCCUAUUAGUGGGGGACAACCCGGGGAAACUCGGGCUAAUACCGCAUACGCACUACGGUGGAAAGCCGGGGACCGCAAGGCCUGGCGCUAACAGAUGAGCCCAAGUCGGAUUAGCUAGUUGGUAGGGAACGGCCUACCAAGGCGACGAUCCGUAACUGGUCUGAGAGGACGACCAGUCACACCGGAACUGAGACACGGUCCGGACUCCUACGGGAGGCAGCAGUGGGGAAUAUUGGACAAUGGGCGAAAGCCUGAUCCAGCGACGCCGCGUGGGUGAAGAAGGCC
This 387-nucleotide ribosomal RNA is filed under the name uncultured bacterium. RNAcentral describes it as "bacterial SSU rRNA". It matches the Rfam family "Bacterial small subunit ribosomal RNA", at positions 29 to 416 of the family's 1533-position model. The record is from RNAcentral.